UCAUAAUACACAUUAUUCAAUCUUUCAGUAAUUCAUAUAAUAACACAUAAUCAAAUAACAAUUAUUGUUGUCUCAUCCACCUAUAAUGAAUCCACGCGUCGACAUAGCCCAAGAGGUUCAAUCGUCAACAUAACUCUCGCAUGUAGCUUACCAUCCAAAACCAACUUACCAUUAAACCUAAAGUCACUCUUCCUUCCUACUCUCUAGGAGCCUCACGAGAGAAGUAAAUAGGUGCUACUUUCCACCACUCUCCUAGAGCAUUUCCUAAAGAAGUUCAUCUUCAAUACAACUAUAUCGAGUCCACCAC
Molecule: long non-coding RNA, 307 nt
Filed under: Vigna radiata
Lineage: Eukaryota; Viridiplantae; Streptophyta; Magnoliopsida; Fabales; Fabaceae
Description: long non-coding RNA (VRAD_LNC002509)
Source: RNAcentral